GACCAGGAGCCAGACGGCGGCGGCAGCAAACCGGUUGGACCACGAGAGACCAAGCGCCUCCGCCGCGGUCCGGCUGGACGGCUGAUGGGUAGAGCCCCCUGCCGCUCCAUGAGCUGGAGAGGGAUGGUGGUGGCGCGCCUACUUGAAACCCGAACUCUACAGAGACAGCAGCGGGGCGCGUGAGGAAGUGAAUAUAGAUUCGGGGCCUUGGCGGGGGCCAGCCAGAGGAACAAUCGCCUAGGUUGCCCAUUGGCCCGCCGCCCGGCCCGACGUCAGCGAUGACAGGUCUCGCCGAACGCGGACACACACACACACACACACACACACACACACACACACACACACAGCUACUCCCGCUCCUCCCCCCUCACAUCCCCUACCCUCAGCAUCUCCCGCUUCUACUGCUCAUGCGCUCUGACCCGGGCACGAAUUCUUUUCUCUUCUCCUGAGCCUCCUCCCCCUCCUCUCCCGAAAGCUGGGUGGAUCUGCUCUGCCUCACGGUUCUUGGAAGUGAGCGGGGCUGGAUUUUGUCUCCAUUCUCUACGAUUUGGGGAGGGGGUGUUGGGCUGCAAGUAAUGUCCUUAGGGCAGACCUAGCGUCCCCAGCCCUGCCUGGGCUGCUGGGCAGCACCUGGCGAGCAGGCACGGCUUCGGUGGUUUGUUACAGGAGCCUGCGGGAGGCGAGAGCCGCAAUCCAGGGAGGAAAGGCGGCUCCAGACUAGGCGGUGGACAGCGAAGGAACUCCUAGGCCAGCAGUCUCUGUGCCUAAUUUUAUUUUCUCGAUUUCUUCGACAUUAUCUAUCUAUCUAUCUAUCUAUCUAUCUAUCUAUCUAUCUAUCUAUCUAUCUAUCUAUCUAUCUAUCUAUCUAUCUAUCUAUCUAUCUAUUCUAAUUUCUCUGAAAGCCCUGACCGCACUUCAUCUUCCUACUUAUUUCCUUUCUUCUCCCCUCCCCCUCUCCUUUCUUUCCACUCCCUUCUUCCCACUUAGCUUUGCGGACCCCUCCUCCAGGGUGCCUGGCACUCUCAGAGACGCGCGAACCCAAGAAUUCUGCCUGCCCAGAACCAGGAAUGGGCUGGAGGCGGUGAUGAUCUCGGAGAGGCUGGCCUCGAAAGCAGCCCUCCCGAGAGGGGCUAAGAAUGAAUCCUCCCAAUCACAAAUCACACUGAACCGCGGGCGGACUGGCCAAAGAAACAAAGGCGAGGGGAGCGCAGCAAGAAGGAACAGCUCCUUGUUCCCCGGGUCUCCCUCUGUCUCCCUCUUGAGCUCUGUACCCUGCCGCCAGACGGAGCCUUUGGGAAAGGGGACUUGGGUAUCACUUCCACUUUCAGCUCCCGCUACUUGUUGCUCACGGUCAAAGUCUCUGCCUCCCUCCUCUCUUGCCUGCAGGACUCCGAGAAGAGUGGACGCCACGUUUCCCCGCCCAGGCAAUGAGAGGGACUGUGGGCCCAUGACCUCUCGCGGAUGCCCUCCCGGGCUAGGGGCUCCACAGUCUUGGGGAGGGCGUGAGGGUUGACAAUGGAAAAACAAAACAACAACAACAACAACAAAACAACCCUUCAGUUCAGGCCCAGCCGAGUGUGGUAUAAAUGGGCGCGGGGGUGGGGGGUGUGGUGUCCUUUGUUUGUGCCGACCGGCUAGGGCUGGCUGCAUCGCCUGGCGAUUUAAAGGUCUGCUGGCCUCGACCCCUGCCUUGGUCUCUGGCCGAAAAUGCCAGCCUAAGUAAUUGGGCAUUCCUGGUGACCAAGGAAAGCGCCCCCAAAGCAGAGAAAAGCUUGUUUAUUGUUUUAAGAAAAGUUUUCAGGAUUGAUUAAAAGACUCUGCACCGGUAGCAGAGGUGAGAAGAUUGGAGAGAUUACAAGGAACUCUGAUUCAGGGUUGAUUGAGCUGCCCCACCUAUCCCCAGCACCAAGGACUAUUCUUAUAACAUUUCCUGGUCAGUAAAUAAGGAUUUCUUUUAAAUUUUAAAAAUAAUUAAUUUAUUUAUAAUGGUUGGCAGGUUCUUUGAGACUUUCUUCAUCUAGUACAUUGUUCCCUCUCAGGGAGCAUUUUUAGCGAGGGAUUAACUUCCACAACAAUUUCCCUCGGCUUUGACAAGUGCAGGUCGUUCUGCUUCUCCAGCCGGCAGAGCUUAAGCUAGGCUACCAAUAGAUGCCAAGUUAGCGUUAAAAAAAAAAAAAAAAAA
Long non-coding RNA from Rhinolophus ferrumequinum (greater horseshoe bat), 2182 nucleotides. RefSeq lists it as uncharacterized. Lineage: Eukaryota; Metazoa; Chordata; Mammalia; Chiroptera; Rhinolophidae. The record is from RefSeq and is a predicted model, not a curated record. The transcript is spliced from 2 exons.